GACAGAGGCCUCAAGCGUUAGGCGGAAUCACUGGGCUUAAAGCGUGUGUAGGCGGGUCGUUAAGUGUCUUGUGAAAUCCCCCGGCUCAACCGGGGAAUGGCUGGGCAUACUGGCGAUCUUGAGCAGUCUAGGGGCAGAUGGAACAGACGGUGGAGCGGUGAAAUGCGUAGAUAUCGUCUGGAACGCCAAAGGUGAAGACAGUCUGCUGGGGACUUGCUGACGCUGAGACACGAAAGCCAGGGGAGCGAACGGG
RNAcentral lists this ribosomal RNA (253 nucleotides) under uncultured bacterium. RNAcentral describes it as "partial 16S ribosomal RNA". It matches the Rfam family "Bacterial small subunit ribosomal RNA", at positions 524 to 776 of the family's 1533-position model. The record is from RNAcentral.